GACGAACGCUGGCGGCGCGCUUAACACAUGCAAGUCGAACGGAAAGGCCUGCUUUCCCUUGUGGAUUGCGGGUACUCGAGUGGCGAACGGGUGAGUAACACGUGAGUGAUCUGCCCCCAACUUGGGUAUAAGCCUGGGAAACUGGGUCUAAUUCCCGAUAGGACUGCAGGGUGGUGCCUGUGGUGGAAAACGAUUUUCUAGUGGUUGGGGAUGAGCUCGCGGCCUAUCAGCUUGUUGGUGGGGUAAUGGCCUACCAAGGCGGCGACGGGUAGCCGGCCUGGGAGGGUGGACGGCCACAUUGGGACUGGGAUACGGCCCAGACUCCUACGGGAGGCAGCAGUGGGGAAUAUGGCACAAUGGGCGGAAGCCUGAUGCAGCGACGCCGCGUGGGGGAUGACGGCCUUCGGGUUGUAAACUCCUUUCGAGCGCGAGGAAGCCACCUGGUUGGAAGGGUGGUGACGGUAGUGGUAGAAGAAGCACCGGCUAACUACGUG
RNAcentral lists this ribosomal RNA (494 nucleotides) under uncultured bacterium. RNAcentral describes it as "partial 16S ribosomal RNA". It matches the Rfam family "Bacterial small subunit ribosomal RNA", at positions 28 to 507 of the family's 1533-position model. The record is from RNAcentral.